CGAAGGGGGCAAGCGUUGUUCGGAAUUACUGGGCGUAAAGGGCGCGUAGGCGGCUUAUCAAGUCAGGCGUGAAAUUCCCGGGCUCAACCUGGGGGCUGCGCUUGAUACUGAUUGGCUUGAAUGCGGGAGAGGAUAGUGGAAUUCCCAGUGUAGAGGUGAAAUUCGUAGAUAUUGGGAAGAACACCGGUGGCGAUGGCGGCUAUCUGGCCCGUAAUUGACGCUGAGGCGCGAAAGCGUGGGGAGCAAACAGGAUUAGAUACCCUGGUAGUCCACGCCGUAAACGGUGAAUGCUAGACGUUGGCGAGCAUGCUCGUCAGUGUCGGAGCUAACGCAUUAAGCAUUCCGCCUGGGGAUACGGUCGCAAAGAUUAA
This 371-nucleotide ribosomal RNA is filed under the name uncultured organism. RNAcentral describes it as "bacterial SSU rRNA". It matches the Rfam family "Bacterial small subunit ribosomal RNA", at positions 526 to 897 of the family's 1533-position model. The record is from RNAcentral.